Equus caballus (horse) is the source of this 1192-nucleotide long non-coding RNA. The record is from Ensembl. NCBI's taxonomy places the organism in Eukaryota, Metazoa, Chordata, Mammalia, Perissodactyla, Equidae.
CAGGGGCUGCUGCAGGUAAGCGAGCCAGCUCCUGCAGGUGCCCCACUUUGGCCCUCGCUGCUGCUCAUUCCCGCACCGGCUGUUGGAGUGGGAGGACUAUGGCUGGGAGCACUUCAAAAAGCACCGGAACAACCCAAAUAUCAGGACCUGAUUUAGGGGGCCACUUAAAACGGAGACAGCACCUGCAGCUCAGCCCUGCACAGCCCUUUUGAAGAUGGUGGCCCCGCAGUGGCGGAGAGGCCCCCACCUACACCCAGCGAGAAAAAGCAAGAAAGAAGAUCAACCAUAAAACUGAAGAGAAUGAAAACUGAGUCCAGACAGUCUGCAGCCUCGUGCUUGCCAUCUAACUGCCCCAGGUCCAUCUCUGAACCAGAUCUGUGUCCCUCAGGACUGGAGAGGACCUGCUGCUCCUCUCUCAACCCUACAUGUGAAGCCGCAGCGCCCCGUCCCAGCGCGGACCCCGGCUCCCCACCCUGCAGUUCCCGCGUGCUCUCACUUGAAGGCAACAUUGAGCUUCAGAUCGCAACCUGCCCGGGAGCGCUCCCCUCUCCUUGGUUCUCCAGCCUCGACUGUCAAGUCAGACUCAACCAGGCUCCUCUCACCCUCAGAGAGCCAUUCUGGAGACAAGGAAGACACGCUCCUUCCCACUGCCCUGAGCAACGAAGGGGGACCGGCUGAGGAUAAACUGGUUUCAGUAGCUCAGGAGAUAAAGGACAAGGUGGGGCGUGGGGACCCAGAGCAUCUUUACAGACUCAUCUAUGAGUCAUAGGAAUCGCAAACACCAGAAAUGACUGAUAACAGUAAAUGACAAUAGGUCCACUUGAGUGAACAUUUAAAUUCUCAUGAUGAAGAUUAUGCAGCUACUUGGGACAAUUACAUAAGUGGAAAGAAGAAUGCAGAUUUUUUCUAUUUUUUUUCUUUUUUUUUUUCUUUUAACUUUCAGUGCAUGUCAUGUGUCCUAGUUGUUAGGUUUUUUUUAGUUCUCUGUGGGAGCUGCUGCCGCAGUGUGACAACUGACAGACGGGUGACAGGGUUCCACAACCAGGAAACGAACUCAGGCCACAGCAGUGAGAGUGCCAAAUCUUAACCAGUAGACCCCCAGGGCUGGCUCAGCAAGUUUUUUCUACAUUUUUAUUGCAGCCGUCUAAAAAUUAUAUCUGCCUGUAAGAAAAAAAAAAACAAAGGAGGGAAG